GUCAUUCUUUCCAACACUUGUCACUCUCUGAUUUUUUGGUAGUAGCCAUCCUAGUGGGUGUGAAGCAGGCUUCUCAUGUGGCUUUGAUUUGCAGGUGUUGGAUUUUCUUCUAAGAACAAUAGGGACAUUCAGAGGAUUGGAGGUUGUGCCAACUUCCUCACCAUGGGCAGAUUUGGAGAAAGAGUAACACCAGUGUCUCUGAUGUCACCACUCAGCCCAGGCAACCUGCUGGGGAAUAUUGUAUAUUUAGGGCAGAGAUUCUUUGCCGGGAUUUCGAGACAUAGGGAUCAAGAUGCCACAUCAAGAGGCUAUGUGACCUUUGACAGUGUUCUAGAGUUAUGGAAAGAAUGUGAGGUCAAAGGAUCCCUCAGUCUGGUGGUUGACCUUGGGCCCUCAUCUGCAUUUGCUCUGCUCUUACUUGGGGAUAAAAUCCUCAGUAGAACUGCACUUCUAGAUCAUCAUGAGGGAGUCAACGAGAGUAUGUACUUGGGGGUCCUAUUUAACGUGGCAACAUUUUUAUCCUUGGGGAAGAAUGGAGCAUCCUUACCACAGCUGCCUUGGAUGACCAAACAACCCACUGUCCUUUGCGGUGAGGAUGUCCUUCGAAGAACACCAUCCAUUCUGGAAGUGGAGGCCUGGCCCACAGCACUUUGGGGGCCAGGGGCCUGCCUCGGGAAGAGGCUGAGGAGACAGUGAUGCAUGACAAGAAUCAUCUCAGACUGGAGAAUGUGGCACGAGAGGGUUUCUGGUGCCUGGAUGCUUUCCAUUUUUGGUUUUUAGUUCUUCACAAACUAUUACAGGAAAUGAUGUUUUUGAAAACAAAGUUGUCCCUGGCCCAGUGGCACCAGGUCAUUCCAUGCAAAUAGUCCCCGCGGGCUGAGAGAAGGCCCAAAAUAUGCAGGUGCAUGAGCGAUACUACUCAGCACGUGAGGUCGCAUAAUUUUCGUGGGCCCUUGCCUGGAAGUUCUGGUGAGAGCCUGGCUGUCCGUUUCGGAAGCAGCCUCUAGGCCUGGCUUUUGGCCUUUUCAUCCACCUGCGGGGUUUGUGCUGAGCUCAAGAUUCCAGAGGCAAAGGACACAUUGCUAGUGCCACUCAGAUCCCCAAAAU
Molecule: long non-coding RNA, 1107 nt
Filed under: Vulpes vulpes (red fox)
Lineage: Eukaryota; Metazoa; Chordata; Mammalia; Carnivora; Canidae
Description: lncRNA (ENSVVUG00000022928.1)
Source: RNAcentral